This 1378-nucleotide long non-coding RNA is filed under the name Homo sapiens (human). RNAcentral describes it as "HSALNT0019003". The record is from RNAcentral. Lineage: Eukaryota; Metazoa; Chordata; Mammalia; Primates; Hominidae.
CUUUGGGGUCAUUAGUAAGUAAAAUAAAGGUUACCUGAACACAAGCACUGCAGUACUGCAACAAUAAAUCUGAUAACCUGGAUGAUGACUAAGUGACUAAGGGGCUGGUAGCACGUAACAUGGAUAAGUUACACAAAGGGAUGAUUCACUUACAGGACAUGAUGCAGCAGUAACUGAGAUUUUUAUCAAGCUACUCAGAACAGUGCACGAUUUAAAAUUUAUGGAUUUACUUGGUGUGGUGGCGCAUACCUAUAAUUCUGGCUCCUCUAGAGGCAGUGUGCUAUGAUUACCCUAUAUGACUGUACUGCAACCUGGGAAACAUAGUGGGAUCAUGUCUCAAAAAUAAAAAGAUUUUAAACAUUUAUGAAUAAUAUUAAGUUCUAUUUGUUUCUAAACAUAAUUACUUAGGGUAAAUUUUUUGAUGAAUUAUAUGUUUGUAAGAUUUAUUCAUGCUGAUAAGUGAAAAGUUUGUUGUUUAAAUUUCAUUUUUGAUUGGCUAAAUAUUGAGUGAUUUACUUAUGAUAUUGUGUAUAAGUGCCUUUUUCUUCAUCUCUCUCUCUUUUAUAUUUUUAUUAGUCUCAAUGGAAGUUUGAUUACGUUCAAAUUUUUAAUCCAAAGUCUCAGAUUCAUAUACCUUCAGUCACUACUAUGGUUUGAAUGUUCUCUCUAAAACUCGGGUUUAAAUUUAAUGGACAUUGUGACAGUAUUAAGAGAUGGGAUCAUUAAGAGGUGAUUAGAUCCUUUCUCCUUAAUGGAUUAAUGCAGUUAUCAUGGGAGUGGGUCAGUGGUCUCAAGAAUUCAUCCCCUUUUUCCCACAGGUGAUAGGUAAUGAAGAUCUUCACCGGAAUUGGCCUCUUGAUCUUGGACUUUCCAGCCUCCAGAACUGCAAGCCAAAUAAACAUAUUGUGUAUAAAUCAUCCAAUCUGUGGUAUUCUGUUAUAACAGCAAAAAGUGAACUGAGACAGUUUAUUCUUUAGGAGUGGCCUGUAAGUGGUUUCAUAAGAGGAGAAAGAUACCUGAAUUCACUGUAUAAGUCCUCUCACCAUGUGAUGCACUGUACCACCUCAGGACUCUGCAGAAAGUUCCCACAACCCAGAAGAAUCUUACCAGAUGUGGUCUCUCAACUUCAGAGUUCUCACCCUAUAUAACUGUUUACAGAAGGAGACUCUGAACUUUAAACUUUUGACUUGGUACUGGAACGCGUUAAGACUUUAGGGCAAUGAGAUUAGAUGAAUAUGAAAAGCACAUGAGUCUUGAGGGACUAUGGGCAGAAUGCUAUGCUUUAAAUAUUUGUCCCUUCCAAAAUGCAUGUUGAAAUUUAAUCCUCAAUAUGGCAGUAUUGAGAGGCGAGGUAUUAAACAGAUAACUGUGUCAUGGG